AGCUGAUACUCUACUUUGGGAGGAUGAGGCCUGGAGGUAACUUCGCAGCUGCCAUCUCCUACUGACCAGUGUUUUUCUCAUGAAGCUUCCUUCAUGAGAAAAUGAUGCAUUUUCCUCCCCCUCAUGAAACCUGAUUGGCUCCAGAUUCUUUGACAGCCUUCUUGGCCUGGGUGCAUAAAAAAUCUUUUCUACAUGUGGCUGGGACCCUUCAGAAUUGAGAUCUUCAGUGGCUCCUGAUUGUACUCGAUAGGAAAAAAUUAUUUACACUGGAAUUUAAGGCUCUCUACAAUUUGACUGCAUUCUAUCCUCAUUGAUGGAAAUCGCUCAGUGCUCCACAGCCUGCUUGAGGAGUGAGGCUAGUGAAAAGACAGAUCCUAGUCUUCUGGCUUUCAGCUUUGACAGAGAAGAUGCAGAGUACAAGAUUCUCUUCAGGUUCCUAAAAGGAAAGAAAGACUCUAGCAAGAAGCUGAGAGUAGAAAAGCCAGCAGUCUCAAUCAUGUCCCUAUUCCCUGUUGACUAUACUAGAGAUUUCAGGGAAUUUCCUCUUGGGUGAGAACUGGGACCUUUUUUUGGCUGAGUGAGAUUGCUGUCAUGUGAUCUGUCAAUCAAUCAGCCAGCAGAAAGAAAGGGUCACAUAUUAUGUGGUAACUCAGUGGUGCUCUAGCCACCUGUGAGUAACUGAUUCUCAACUCCACCCAUCUCAUGUUUGCACUCUCUCUCUCUCCCUCUCUCCCUCUGGGCUUUGUGUGGUAGCAGCCAGCCCUCAAGUUCAAUGGCACUUAGUGGCUGUCACCUGGAAUAUACUAAAAAAUUACCAGAAAUGCUUAGUAUCUCUUUCCCAUUCCCCAGGACAGUUGGCUUCCCCUCUCAAUAAUGACUUACAGGAUCUUAUAAUUCACUGUUAAUAGCCAUGCAAUUUAUUAAAACUAUCAAAUAACAUAGAAAACACAAAUAGAUAUUGAAAAUGAAGCAUAGCAGCCUGGAUUGAUUUAUUUCCUUCCUUCCCUGUCCCCAUUCCUUCUCCACAUUGUGGGAGUAGGCUAAAAAGGAAAGUGAUUUGGUAGGUAGAAUGAAUAGGGGCUUUCUCAGUUAGGCUUGAAAGGAAUAGGAAGGAGAAUGAAACUGUGGACAGGAAUUUGGCUCAUCUCUAUGGCUAUGCAAUUGGCUGUGGCCCGAUGACAGGCAGCUCCAAACUCACUCUAACUCCACACCACCUUGAGUUCCUUGCCUUUGUAUCCUCCAGUUCCUGACCCCUCUGUUUCCUUCAAUCAGAACUAAAUCCAUGAAGAGUUUCACAAGGAGAUCUCUGCUCUGCUUUGAUUUCCCCUGCUCACAGCUGGUGGGAAGUGCUCAUCUGUUCCUCUCCUUACCUCAUGGCAAGACAAACAUGGAGCUUCCCCUUCCUACAACUACUUCAUCCCCCCAGGCCAAAGGCAAGAUUAGAGGUCUCUGCAAGGCCAAAGAAAGCAGAAACUUAAUAGUUCUGGGAAGUGUGUGCCUACAUACAGUCUGGAUCACCACAUCUCUAUGACUCAUCCUGAGUCUUCCCAGGUUUUA
This is a non-coding RNA of Phascolarctos cinereus (koala), 1557 nucleotides long. The record is from RefSeq and is a predicted model, not a curated record. NCBI's taxonomy places the organism in Eukaryota, Metazoa, Chordata, Mammalia, Diprotodontia, Phascolarctidae.